RNAcentral lists this ribosomal RNA (253 nucleotides) under uncultured bacterium. Its description in RNAcentral is "partial 16S ribosomal RNA". It matches the Rfam family "Bacterial small subunit ribosomal RNA", at positions 524 to 776 of the family's 1533-position model. The record is from RNAcentral.
UACGUAGGGACCAAGCGUUGUUCGGAUUUACUGGGCGUAAAGCGCGCGUAGGCGGACCUGCAAGUCGGGGGUGAAAGCCCGAGGCUUAACCUCGGAACUGCCUUCGAUACUGCGGGUCUCGAGUCCGGGAGAGGUGAGUGGAAUUCCUAGUGUAGAGGUGAAAUUCGUAGAUAUUAGGAAGAACACCAGUGGCGAAGGCGGCUCACUGGCCCGGUACUGACGCUGAGGCGCGAAAGCGUGGGGAGCAAACAGG